AUGCUGACAUAAGUAACGAUAAAGCGGGUGAAAAGCCCGCUCGCCGGAAGACCAAGGGUUCCUGUCCAACGUUAAUCGGGGCAGGGUGAGUCGACCCCUAAGGCGAGGCCGAAAGGCGUAGUCGAUGGGAAACAGGUUAAUAUUCCUGUACUUGGUGUUACUGCGAAGGGGGGACGGAGAAGGCUAUGUUGGCCGGGCGACGGUUGUCCCGGUUUAAGCGUGUAGGCUGGUUUUCCAGGCAAAUCCGGAAAAUCAAGGCUGAGGCGUGAUGACGAGGCACUACGGUGCUGAAGCAACAAAUGCCCUGCUUCCAGGAAAAGCCUCUAAGCAUCAGGUAACAUCAAAUCGUACCCCAAACCGACACAGGUGGUCAGGUAGAGAAUACCAAGGCGCUUGAGAGAACUCGGGUGAAGGAACUAGGCAAAAUGGUGCCGUAACUUCGGGAGAAGGCACGCUGAUAUGUAGGUGAAGUCCCUCGCGGAUGGAGCUGAAAUCAGUCGAAGAUACCAGCUGGCUGCAACUGUUUAUUAAAAACACAGCACUGUGCAAACAC
Molecule: ribosomal RNA, 553 nt
Filed under: Escherichia coli
Lineage: Bacteria; Pseudomonadati; Pseudomonadota; Gammaproteobacteria; Enterobacterales; Enterobacteriaceae
Description: partial 23S ribosomal RNA
Rfam family: Bacterial large subunit ribosomal RNA
Source: RNAcentral